Molecule: small RNA, 144 nt
Filed under: marine actinobacterium K362
Lineage: Bacteria; Bacillati; Actinomycetota; Actinomycetes
Source: RNAcentral
AAUAAAAUAAAUCUUUUGUCACGGUUCCGAAGUUCGGUUAAAUUCCGACACUGUCCCGCAACGGUAAAUUCUAAGAUAAGCACAGAACAAGUCCGGUCGAGUCCAUGGCAAAACGAACAUUCUCGAGGUUAGGACAAGUUCGUU